This 512-nucleotide ribosomal RNA is filed under the name uncultured bacterium. RNAcentral's name for it is "bacterial SSU rRNA". It matches the Rfam family "Bacterial small subunit ribosomal RNA", at positions 35 to 518 of the family's 1533-position model. The record is from RNAcentral.
AACGGCUGGCGGCGUGCCUAAUACAUGCAAGUCGAACGGUCUUUCUAUGGAAGCUUGCUCCACUGAGAAGAUAGUGGCGAACGGGUGAGUAACACGUGGGAACCUGCCCAUAAGAGGGGGAUAACAUCCGGAAACGGGUGCUAAUACCGCAUAGUUUUCUUGAUCGCAUGAUCGGGAAAGGAAAGACGGCCUUUGUGCUGUCGCUUAUGGAUGGACCCGCGGCGUAUUAGUUAGUUGGUGAGGUAAUGGCUCACCAAGACGAUGAUACGUAGCCGACCUGAGAGGGUGAUCGGCCACAUUGGGACUGAGACACGGCCCAAACUCCUACGGGAGGCAGCAGUAGGGAAUCUUCCGCAAUGGACGAAAGUCUGACGGAGCAACGCCGCGUGAGUGAAGAAAGGUUUUCGGAUCGUAAAACUCUGUUGUCAGAGAAGAACAAGUUGGAGAGUAACUGCUCCAGCCUUGACGGUAUCUGACCAGAAAGCCACGGCUAACUACGUGCCAGCCGCCGC